Molecule: ribosomal RNA, 854 nt
Filed under: uncultured organism
Description: bacterial SSU rRNA
Rfam family: Bacterial small subunit ribosomal RNA
Source: RNAcentral
GAAGGGACCUAGCGUAGUUCGGAGUUACUGGGCUUAAAGAGUUCGUAGGUGGUUAAAAAAGUUGGUGGUGAAAUCCCAGAGCUUAACUCUGGAACUGCCAUCAAAACUUUUUAGCUAGAGUAUGAUAGAGGAAAGCAGAAUUUCUAGUGUAGAGGUGAAAUUCGUAGAUAUUAGAAAGAAUACCAAUUGCGAAGGCAGCUUUCUGGAUCAUUACUGACACUGAGGAACGAAAGCAUGGGUGGCGAAGAGGAUUAGAUACCCUCGUAGUCCAUGCCGUAAACGAUGUGUGUUAGAUGUUGGAAAUUUAUUUUCAGUAUCGCAGCGAAAGCAAUAAACACACCGCCUGGGGAGUACGACCGCAAGGUUAAAACUCAAAUGAAUUGACGGGGACCCGCACAAGUAGUGGAGCAUGUGGUUUAAUUCGAAGAUACGCGCAGAACCUUACCAACACUUGACAUGUUCGUUUCGACUCUAAGAGAUUAGAGUUUUCGGUUCGGCCGGACGAAACACAGGUGCUGCAUGGCUGUCGUCAGCUCGUGUCGUGAGAUGUUGGGUUAAGUCCCGCAACGAGCGCAACCCUUACUUUUAGUUGCCACCAUUUAGUUGGGCACUCUGAAAGAACUGCCAGUGAUAAGCUGGAGGAAGGUGGGGAUGACGUCAAGUCCUCAUGGCCCUUAUGUGUUGGGCUACACACGUGCUACAAUGGCAUUUACAAUAGGAAGCAAGAUGGCGACAUUAAGCAAAUCCUAAAAAAAUGCCUCAGUUCGGAUUGUACUCUGCAACUCGAGUACAUGAAGCUGGAAUUACUAGUAAUCGCGGAUCAGCGCGCCGCGGUGAAUACGUUCCCGGGUCUU